ACACGAUCUCUCCCUUUGGCCUUCACCACGACCAGAACCGAAAAUGGAAAACCAGACUCAGAAAGAAAGAAAUUUCUGAACAGCCCUAAGUUCGAAGAUUGAUUGCGUAAAUUUCUGUAUCACCUGAUUUGGAUUCAAUCAAUCAAUCAAUCAGCAAUGAUAGGAAGAAAAAGAGAAAUCUGUUCCGAUGCUGACCCUGACGCCAAUGAUUCUCUUGUUUGGAAAACAAAGAAGAUCGGCAGGAUCGACUUUUGAUGUUCAAAGGGCAGAACCAUCUCUGCAGCAACCAAUGGAAAGGCCAGCCUUGGACAUGCACCAAGCUGAGUUAUCUAGACAGCAUGUGAGAGUCCUCAAUAACCAAUUUGCGAGGAAAUCUCCUUAUCCCUGACCACCUUUCAUUCUUGUUCCAAAAAGGAAUUUCUUUUAGAGGAGUGGCAAAGGUAGGUUGGUUUGUCUUUCAGUCAUCAUACAGCAAGCGGGUUAUGAAUUUCUCCAUUAUUUAAUGAUGUUUAUAUAUUUCCUAGGAUAUUCGUGACAUGUGGGAUAAAUUUUGGGGGUGCUAAAAACUGCCUCUGUUUAUGGUGAACAGUUGGGUCCAAACACACAAACAGAACCACCCUGAUGAACUUUGGGAAGAUGGAAUCCGAGAUUAUCUGGCCCUUGCAGCAACCAUAAUGUCAUGUUCCUAUAACCUAUAAACAAUUUGUUGAUUUGUGGCUUUCGCUAUUUUUCAGGGCUUUAUGUGGUUAUGACUUGAAAGAUAAUUGGGUUAGAAAUGUGGUUCUAUGUGCACCCCCUUUUCCUUAUUGUCGAGAUAUAUGCAUGGUGGGAUGUAGAUAAAAGAAAUUGGCAUCUAAAUUUGAAGUGCAUUACUUUUCUGUCAACAGAAGCCCUUGCUGUUGCAGCCAAAAUGAGUCAUCCUUCCUAUCUCAACCGCUAUUUAGGUUGCAUUGGAAUGUUAAAUGCUGCAUAUACCCCCAAUAUUUUGACCAGGGAAGGGAAGGUUGUCCUUGGUUUUUCCAAGUUUCAAGUUGUGGAGCAAGAUGUGCUCUAAAUCUCUUUCCGCAUUGUUAUGUAAACCUUUCGUAGAGGAUUCUUCUGCUAAAUUGUGAAUACUUGUAAUAUUGAAAAAGGAAAGUUCUGAAAAACAGGUGUUAUAUGCAUAUUUUGAUCGAUAUUUGCCAUGUACUUCCUUU
Molecule: long non-coding RNA, 1196 nt
Organism: Diospyros lotus (date-plum)
Lineage: Eukaryota; Viridiplantae; Streptophyta; Magnoliopsida; Ericales; Ebenaceae
Exons: 3
Source: RefSeq, a predicted model, not a curated record